UACGGAAGGUCCGGGCGUUAUCCGGAUUUAUUGGGUUUAAAGGGAGCGCAGGCCGGAAGCAAAGCGUGCCGUGAAAUGUAGAUGCUCAACAUCUGAAUUGCGGCGCGAACUGGUUUUCUUGAGUGCAUACGAGGUAGGCGGAAUUUGUGGUGUAGCGGUGAAAUGCUUAGAUAUCACGAAGAACUCCGAUUGCGAAGGCAGCCUACCAGGAUGUAACUGACGCUAAAGCUCGAAAGUGCGGGUAUCGAACAGG
This 253-nucleotide non-coding RNA is filed under the name uncultured bacterium. RNAcentral's name for it is "partial 16S ribosomal RNA". It matches the Rfam family "Bacterial small subunit ribosomal RNA", at positions 524 to 776 of the family's 1533-position model. The record is from RNAcentral. RNAcentral also lists the same sequence under 1 other name.